Molecule: non-coding RNA, 175 nt
Filed under: Eubacteriales Family XIII. Incertae Sedis bacterium
Lineage: Bacteria; Bacillati; Bacillota; Clostridia; Peptostreptococcales; Anaerovoracaceae
Description: 6S RNA
Rfam family: 6S / SsrS RNA
About the family: E. coli 6S RNA was the first non coding RNA to be sequenced, but its function was unknown until recently. It consists of 184 nucleotides that fold into an extended hairpin structure with a large single-stranded internal bulge.
Source: RNAcentral
CAUGUCCUGAAGGAUUCGACAGGCCGUACGUUAAUCCUACUGUAUUAAUACGGGGACGCCGGAGUCACACCGCGGCUGCCGGGCCGGCUUGACCGGAUAGCAAAUGCGGGGCGCAGGCGACCCACUUACCGGUGGUAAGGUAUUAAUAUCGGUCUGACGGUUCUUCGGGAUUUUU